GUGUUCACUUUGGUAGCACAGAGACUAAAAUUGGAAUGAUACAGAGAAGAUUAGCACAGCCCCUGUGCAGAGAUGACUCACAAAUUCCUGAAGGGUUCCAUAAAAAC
RNAcentral lists this small nuclear RNA (107 nucleotides) under Meriones unguiculatus (Mongolian gerbil). The record is from RNAcentral. Lineage: Eukaryota; Metazoa; Chordata; Mammalia; Rodentia; Muridae.